Molecule: ribosomal RNA, 2903 nt
Filed under: Enterobacter hormaechei
Lineage: Bacteria; Pseudomonadati; Pseudomonadota; Gammaproteobacteria; Enterobacterales; Enterobacteriaceae
Also listed under: 2 other names
Description: 23S ribosomal RNA
Rfam family: Bacterial large subunit ribosomal RNA
Source: RNAcentral
UUAAGCGACUAAGCGUACACGGUGGAUGCCCUGGCAGUCAGAGGCGAUGAAGGACGUGCUAAUCUGCGAAAAGCGCCGGCGAGGUGAUAUGAACCCUUGACCCGGCGAUGUCCGAAUGGGGAAACCCAGUGCAAUCCGUUGCACUAUCGUUAACUGAAUACAUAGGUUAACGAGGCGAACCGGGGGAACUGAAACAUCUAAGUACCCCGAGGAAAAGAAAUCAACCGAGAUUCCCCCAGUAGCGGCGAGCGAACGGGGAGCAGCCCGGAGUCUGAAUCAGCUUGUGUGUUAGUGGAACGGUCUGGAAAGUCCGACGGUACAGGGUGAUAGUCCCGUACACGAAAAUGCACAUGCUGUGAACUCGAAGAGUAGGGCGGGACACGUGGUAUCCUGUCUGAAUAUGGGGGGACCAUCCUCCAAGGCUAAAUACUCCUGACUGACCGAUAGUGAACCAGUACCGUGAGGGAAAGGCGAAAAGAACCCCGGCGAGGGGAGUGAAAAAGAACCUGAAACCGUGUACGUACAAGCAGUGGGAGCCUCUUUAUGGGGUGACUGCGUACCUUUUGUAUAAUGGGUCAGCGACUUAUAUUCUGUAGCAAGGUUAACCGUAUAGGGGAGCCGAAGGGAAACCGAGUCUUAACUGGGCGUUAAGUUGCAGGGUAUAGACCCGAAACCCGGUGAUCUAGCCAUGGGCAGGUUGAAGGUUGGGUAACACUAACUGGAGGACCGAACCGACUAAUGUUGAAAAAUUAGCGGAUGACCUGUGGCUGGGGGUGAAAGGCCAAUCAAACCGGGAGAUAGCUGGUUCUCCCCGAAAGCUAUUUAGGUAGCGCCUCGUGAACUCAUCUUCGGGGGUAGAGCACUGUUUCGGCUAGGGGGCCAUCCCGGCUUACCAACCCGAUGCAAACUACGAAUACCGAAGAAUGUUAUCACGGGAGACACACGGCGGGUGCUAACGUCCGUCGUGAAGAGGGAAACAACCCAGACCGCCAGCUAAGGUCCCAAAGUCAUGGUUAAGUGGGAAACGAUGUGGGAAGGCACAGACAGCCAGGAUGUUGGCUUAGAAGCAGCCAUCAUUUAAAGAAAGCGUAAUAGCUCACUGGUCGAGUCGGCCUGCGCGGAAGAUGUAACGGGGCUAAACCAUGCACCGAAGCUGCGGCAGCGACACUAUGUGUUGUUGGGUAGGGGAGCGUUCUGUAAGCCGUUGAAGGUGUGCUGUGAGGCAUGCUGGAGGUAUCAGAAGUGCGAAUGCUGACAUAAGUAACGAUAAAGCGGGUGAAAAGCCCGCUCGCCGGAAGACCAAGGGUUCCUGUCCAACGUUAAUCGGGGCAGGGUGAGUCGACCCCUAAGGCGAGGCCGAAAGGCGUAGUCGAUGGGAAACAGGUUAAUAUUCCUGUACUUGGUGUUACUGCGAAGGGGGGACGGAGAAGGCUAUGUCAGCCGGGCGACGGUUGUCCCGGUUUAAGCAUGUAGGCGGAGGUUCCAGGUAAAUCCGGUACCUUGUUAACGCUGAGGUGUGAUGACGAGGCACUACGGUGCUGAAGUGAUAAAUGCCCUGCUUCCAGGAAAAGCCUCUAAGCAUCAGGUAACACGAAAUCGUACCCCAAACCGACACAGGUGGUCAGGUAGAGAAUACCAAGGCGCUUGAGAGAACUCGGGUGAAGGAACUAGGCAAAAUGGUGCCGUAACUUCGGGAGAAGGCACGCUGAUGUGUAGGUGAAGCCCCUGCGGGCGGAGCUGAAAUCAGUCGAAGAUACCAGCUGGCUGCAACUGUUUAUUAAAAACACAGCACUGUGCAAACACGAAAGUGGACGUAUACGGUGUGACGCCUGCCCGGUGCCGGAAGGUUAAUUGAUGGGGUUAGCGGCAACGCGAAGCUCUUGAUCGAAGCCCCGGUAAACGGCGGCCGUAACUAUAACGGUCCUAAGGUAGCGAAAUUCCUUGUCGGGUAAGUUCCGACCUGCACGAAUGGCGUAAUGAUGGCCAGGCUGUCUCCACCCGAGACUCAGUGAAAUUGAACUCGCUGUGAAGAUGCAGUGUACCCGCGGCAAGACGGAAAGACCCCGUGAACCUUUACUAUAGCUUGACACUGAACACUGGUCCUUGAUGUGUAGGAUAGGUGGGAGGCUUUGAAGCGUGGACGCCAGUCUGCGUGGAGCCAACCUUGAAAUACCACCCUUUAAUGGCUGGUGUUCUAACGUAGACCCGUAAUCCGGGUUGCGGACAGUGUCUGGUGGGUAGUUUGACUGGGGCGGUCUCCUCCCAAAGAGUAACGGAGGAGCACGAAGGUUGGCUAAUCCUGGUCGGACAUCAGGAGGUUAGUGCAAUGGCAUAAGCCAGCUUGACUGCGAGCGUGACGGCGCGAGCAGGUGCGAAAGCAGGUCAUAGUGAUCCGGUGGUUCUGAAUGGAAGGGCCAUCGCUCAACGGAUAAAAGGUACUCCGGGGAUAACAGGCUGAUACCGCCCAAGAGUUCAUAUCGACGGCGGUGUUUGGCACCUCGAUGUCGGCUCAUCACAUCCUGGGGCUGAAGUAGGUCCCAAGGGUAUGGCUGUUCGCCAUUUAAAGUGGUACGCGAGCUGGGUUUAGAACGUCGUGAGACAGUUCGGUCCCUAUCUGCCGUGGGCGCUGGAGAAUUGAGGGGGGCUGCUCCUAGUACGAGAGGACCGGAGUGGACGCAUCACUGGUGUUCGGGUUGUCAUGCCAAUGGCACUGCCCGGUAGCUAAAUGCGGAAGAGAUAAGUGCUGAAAGCAUCUAAGCACGAAACUUGCCCCGAGAUGAGUUCUCCCUGAGACUUUAAGUCUCCUGAAGGAACGUUGAAGACGACGACGUUGAUAGGUCGGGUGUGUAAGCGCAGCGAUGCGUUGAGCUAACCGAUACUAAUGAACCGUGAGGCUUAACCUU